This 25-nucleotide non-coding RNA is filed under the name Cricetulus griseus (Chinese hamster). Lineage: Eukaryota; Metazoa; Chordata; Mammalia; Rodentia; Cricetidae. The record is from RNAcentral.
GCGGCCUUGGGAGCGGAGCUGAGCG